UGAGGAAUAUUGGGCAAUGCCCGCAAGGGUGACCCAGCAACGCCGCGUGGAGGAUGAAUGUCGUAAGAUUGUAAACUCCUGUUAGAGGGGACGAAUAGUACCGGUUGGACUGGUAUAUGACUGUACCCUCAGAGAAAGCCCCGGCUAACUACGUGCCAGCAGCCGCGGUAAUACGUAGGGGGCAAGCAUUGUCCGGAUUUACUGGGUGUAAAGGGCGCGCAGGCGGGAUAAAAAGUCAGUGGUGAAAUCCUAC
Molecule: ribosomal RNA, 253 nt
Filed under: uncultured bacterium
Lineage: Bacteria
Description: partial 16S ribosomal RNA
Rfam family: Bacterial small subunit ribosomal RNA
Source: RNAcentral